GAGAAAAGCGCUUCAGUAGCGAGAGGGGCUGAGAAAGUGGUGACACCGCCGGGGUGCGGAGGGAGUCCCUGAAACUUCUCCCAACAGCCCCAGGGCCAAUCUCCCCUCAGCCCACUCCCCUCUUCGCCAGCUCCCAGGUCCCCACUCCCUGCGCCGGGGGUGGGGUAGGGAGCCAGGCCCGUCUCCCGCUGGGACACACACAGGGACCGGGAGCGGGGACGGGACCCCCGAGGCGGGGGGGGAACGGACCGACAGACAGACGGCCGGGCGCCCGCCCCAGCGGGCAGGCAGGCAGGAGGAGGCGGAGGAGGCGGGGGUACGACGGGGAGGACUGGGUCCGGGGAGUUUCCUCUCAACUAUCGGGGGAGAAACUCCCCGCAGCCGGAGGAAAGACCCAGACGGUGUUUUCCUCCCGGGGGCCGCGCUCCCCCGCCCCGCGUUAGCGGCGGUUGCCGCCGCCGCCGCCGCCGCCACCGGCGCUUCCACCUCUACCAUCUCCUCUUUCUCCACCACCUCGGGCCCCGGUGUCCCCGGCCAGCACUAUGCCCAUCUUACUGUUCCUGAUAGACACGUCUGCCUCUAUGAACCAGCGCAGCCAUCUGGGCACCACCUACCUGGACACGGCCAAAGGCGCGGUAGAGACCUUCAUGAAGCUCCGUGCCCGGGACCCUGCCAGCCGAGGAGACAGGUAUAUGCUGGUCACUUUCGAAGAGCCACCCUAUGCUAUCAAGGCCGGAUGGAAAGAAAACCAUGCAACGUUUAUGAAUGAACUGAAAAACCUUCAAGCUGAAGGACUUACGACUCUUGGCCAAUCCCUAAGGACAGCUUUUGAUUUAUUAAAUUUAAAUAGAUUAGUAACUGGCAUAGACAACUAUGGGCAGGGAAGAAACCCCUUUUUUUUGGAGCCAGCAAUAAUUAUUACAAUUACUGAUGGGAGCAAGUUGACUACUACCAGUGGAGUCCAGGAUGAGUUGCAGCAUGUGAGAUCUAAUUCCCUGACCAGAGAUGGAACCCAGGCCCCCUGCAUUCUUCAUUUACCUCUUAAUUCUCCUUUGCCUGGAAGUGAAUUGACCAAGGAACCUUUUCGUUGGGAUCAGAGACUCUUUGCAUUAGUGUUGCGGUUGCCGGGGACGAUGUCCGUAGAAUCAGAGCAGUUGACAGGUGUGCCUUUAGAUGACUCUGCAAUCACACCAAUGUGUGAGGUGACAGGCGGCCGCUCAUACUCUGUAUGUUCUCCAAGAAUGCUUAAUCAGUGUCUAGAAUCCUUGGUGCAGAAAGUACAAAGUGGGGUAGUAAUAAACUUUGAGAAAGCAGGACCAGAUCCUUCCCCUGUAGAAGAUGGGCAGCCAGAUAUAUCAAGACCUUUUGGAUCGCAGCCUUGGCACAGUUGUCACAAACUCAUUUAUGUCAGACCAAAUCCUAAAACUGGGGUUCCUAUAGGUCACUGGCCUGUUCCAGAAUCUUUCUGGCCAGAUCAAAAUUCUCCAACACUACCACCUCGUACAUCUCAUCCUGUAGUGAAGUUCUCCUGUACAGACUGUGAACCCAUGGUUAUUGACAAAUUGCCUUUUGACAAAUAUGAGUUGGAACCUUCACCGCUGACUCAGUUUAUCCUGGAAAGAAAAUCUCCUCAGACAUGUUGGCAGGUAUAUGUGAGCAAUAGUGCAAAAUACAGUGAACUUGGCCAUCCCUUUGGUUACUUGAAAGCCAGUACAGCACUGAACUGUGUCAACUUAUUCGUGAUGCCUUACAAUUACCCAGUGCUCCUUCCCCUUUUAGAUGAUCUGUUUAAAGUCCAUAAAGCAAAACCAACAUUGAAAUGGAGACAGUCAUUUGAAAGUUAUUUGAAGACAAUGCCUCCCUACUAUCUUGGGCCUUUGAAGAAAGCUGUUAGAAUGAUGGGAGCACCUAACCUAAUAGCAGACAGUAUGGAAUAUGGACUUAGUUACAGUGUCAUUUCAUACCUCAAAAAACUGAGUCAGCAGGCCAAAAUAGAAUCUGAUCGAGUCAUCGGUUCUGUAGGCAAAAAAGUAGUACAGGAAACUGGAAUUAAAGUCCGAAGCAGAUCACAUGGUUUAUCAAUGGCAUAUAGGAAAGAUUUUCAACAGCUGCUCCAGGGAAUUUCAGAGGAUGUUCCUCACAGACUGCUGGACCUUAAUAUGAAAGAAUACACUGGGUUCCAAGUUGCUUUGCUCAAUAAGGAUUUGAAGCCACAGACGUUUAGAAAUGCAUAUGACAUACCAAGACGGAAUCUUUUGGAUCACUUAACAAGAAUGAGAUCUAAUCUUUUGAAGAGCACCCGCAGAUUUCUUAAAGGACAGGAUGAAGACCAAGUGCACAGUGUUCCUAUAGCACAAAUGGGGAAUUACCAGGAGUACCUCAAGCAAGUACCUUCUCCAUUAAGAGAACUUGAUCCUGAUCAGCCUCGGAGGUUGCAUACAUUUGGCAACCCCUUUAAGCUGGAUAAAAAGGGUAUGAUGAUAGAUGAGGCAGAUGAAUUUGUGGCUGGACCUCAAAAUAAACAUAAACGACCUGGAGAACCAAAUAUGCAAGGUGUCCCUAAGAGACGACGCUGCAUGUCUCCACUGCUGAGGGGCCGGCAGCAGAGCCCAGUUGUGAACAACCACAUCGGAGGGAAAGGCCCACCGGCACCUAUGACCCAAGCACAGCCAGACCUCAUUAAACCCCUUCCUCUUCAUAAAAUUUCUGAAGCCACUAAUGAUUCGACAAUGGAUGAUGUGGUUGAAAAUCAUGUUGCAGACCAACUUUCAUCAGAUACUACACCAAAUGCUAUGGAAGCUGAAUUUUCAGGAUCUUCUCCAGCCAACUUACUGGAACGACCAAGCAAUCAUACAGAGGCUCUCGGUCACGACCACUUAGGAACUAAUGACCUCACUGUUGGUGGAUUUUUAGAAAAUCACGAGGAGCCCAGAGAUAAAGAACAAUGUCCUGAAGAGAAUAUACCAGCAUCUUCACUCAACAAAGGAAAGAAAUUGAUGCAUUGCAGAAGCCAUGAAGAGGUCAACACUGAACUAAAAGCACAAAUAAUGAAAGAGAUCCGAAAGCCAGGAAGAAAAUAUGAAAGAAUCUUCACUUUACUGAAGCAUGUGCAAGGCAGUUUACAAACAAGACUAAUAUUUUUACAAAAUGUCAUUAAAGAAGCAUCAAGGUUUAAAAAAAGAAUGCUAAUAGAACAACUGGAGAACUUCUUGGAUGAAAUUCAUCGAAGAGCCAAUCAGAUCAACCAUAUUAAUAGCAAUUAAAAGAAAAGAGAAUGUGGCCACUUAUUUCACUACCUUCUCCAAAUACAAAGAGUGGCCCAAGAAGUGACAUUUACAUGUUUGCACAGACGUAGGCUUAGACCCAUAGCCUGGCAUGCCUCGGCAUCCUCAUCUCCUAUACAUUUUAUCUCUGAUAGAACACUGAGGCUUGAAGAGUUUAAGGAGCUUGCCCAAGAGGACGUCCUGAGUCUGCGACGGAGCCUGCCUGGACGAGGCUGACGGAGCCCAGAGCCUGUGCUCUCGGUGUCUACACCCUGCCACCUGCCAUCUGCCUCCUGGCUGGCAUCUCACACACAGUAGGGCCUGGACUUAUUUUUAACUCCUCAAAGGAAUCCUGCCAAGGCCUCUGGCUCAGCAAUGCAGAGAGCCUGGUCAGUGGAGGAGGCUGAGGUGGCCAGUGGGGAGGAGCAUGAAGAAUCCACACACUGCAAAUGAACCCUCGGAUAAUUUUUUUUGUUUAGCUGCUGGUCUCCAAAUUAAUUAUGCAUUUACUCUGAUUUCAAAUGAAGCUUAUCAUUUAGAGAUGCUCCUUGAGGAACCCUUUGUAAAGUAAUGAGUUUCGCAAAUAGGUUUUGCUUUGGAGAAGAAAAAUCCAGCACCAUCAUUUAACUUUUUGACCUCUUGGGGUUUUGUAUUUGUACCUAUUGGGUUUUCUUAAAGAAAGGCUCACCUCUCUUUAGAAAGAAUGAAACCUUCAGUGCAAGGAUGUAAAGCCUUCAACUUUUAUGCUUCAGUUUGCCUUCUGAUGGGAAUUAUAUCUGUAUUUGCUCAACUGCAUAA
Molecule: RNA transcript, 4061 nt
Organism: Bubalus bubalis (water buffalo)
Lineage: Eukaryota; Metazoa; Chordata; Mammalia; Artiodactyla; Bovidae
Gene: INTS6
Gene name: integrator complex subunit 6
Exons: 22
Source: RefSeq, a predicted model, not a curated record